GGUGCAUUCACUGGCACCUGUUGCCAGUCUGUAAUCAGUGGCGUUAUAGGUGCUGCUGUGAUUGUCACUUGCUUCCCUCCAAUAUUCUGCCAACACCAAUUCCUUCAAGUCUCCUGUGCUUUCCUAGUUGACAUGUGCGACGUAUUUUUGGUGGCUGUGGAAAUGGAGGGCGUGCUGGCAGCAGAGAAGAUUUGGAAGCAAAGUGGAAUUGGCAAGAGGGAGCUCAAGAGGAACACUUCCACUGGAAUCUUCCUUUUCUUAAAUCACUAUUAAAAUACUAGGUUCUGGAAAUGUAUAAUGCUCAUUGUAUUAAAUAUGAAUUGCUCAACUUUUUACAUGUACAGCAUAAGUCUGAGACCAAUCUGUCAGAAUUAAGAGAACUUCCAAGACACCUUGCCUGUAAACUGAAAUUUCUGCUUCCAUUGAUCCAAAUAAGGGACAUUUUAAGGAUUUAGAUACACAACUGCUGUGUCACUGUCACGACCUUGAAGUCCUGGGAAUUAUAGUUUGUCAGGACCUGUAGUGGGAGACUAUCAACUCCAUCCUCAAAAAGGCCCAGCAGAGGUUUGCAUCGGAGUAAGCGCGAACUGCCACAGCAGCUGUUGGGACAGCUGGAUAUGGUUUAGUCUGGUUUAGUACUGAUACAAAAAAGGACAAACUCCGACUGCAACAGACAAUCAGGACUGGUGUGGAAAAAUCCUCUGUACCCCCUUUAUCCAUCUUGAAAGACUUACACGCUGCCAAAUCUGAGGAAAGGACAUGCAAAAUCCUCUUGGAGCCUCCACUUCCUGGUUGCCACAUCUUCCAGUUCCUUCCAUUGGCUAAGCGCAAUCGAACCAUGCAAACGAAAAUCAACAGACAUCCCAACAGCUUCUUCCCUUUUGCCAUUACAUUGCUCGACACGAAGGAACUAUCCGUAUUGUGUUUUUAUGAUGUUAUGUCUCAAAAGUGUUGAUUGUUAAAGUUCGUCUAUUGUCAUAUGAGAGCACCUCCAACUACCGGAGAAAAAAUCCUUGUUUUUUUUGACAUACUUUCCAAAUAAAGAGGGUUGCAAUUCUGAUUCUAUAUUAACCUUUGCUUUGUUGAGAGGCUCCGAUGAGUCCUUCCUAAUUGGUGGCCCACUUCCAUAUAAAACCCACCAAUCGUUACUGAUUGGAGAGGAGGAACACUGCAAGCUGCACGUCAAUAAUCACUAGGUUUAAAAAUGUCGCCGGCUGUGAUUUUGUGGAAAAUAUAGUUUCUGUACUUCUUGUUCCUGUCUUUUGUUAUUGAACUUCUGACUCGUUGUAUACAUUGAAAUUGUUUGUGUUGGCAACACUUGUGAUUUGAAUUAGUUUUUAUUAGUGUUUACCUUUUUUGUUUUACUGUACAUUGAAGCAUAUUGCUUAGAUUUGUGCUUAUUCCUAUUCCGCAUGGGCACAUGUUGGCCUUUCGACCCGUGGCAUUUGUAUCCCACUCUAUGUAUGUUUUUCUUGCUAAAUUGAGCCAAAGUCCGACUCAGUCUGUACUGUUUUAGUAAACUGUACUUUUCUGGGAUUACAAUGUAGAUACUGCAGUAGUUAAACUACCUCUGCCACGUUACUCACGACGCAGCAAACAGCUGCUAAAACGGGAUUUGUUCUGUACUGAACUGGGAUGAAGGGAAAACUAUUGCAUUUGCUCAC
Syngnathoides biaculeatus (alligator pipefish) is the source of this 1664-nucleotide long non-coding RNA. RefSeq lists it as uncharacterized. The transcript is spliced from 3 exons. The record is from RefSeq and is a predicted model, not a curated record. Lineage: Eukaryota; Metazoa; Chordata; Actinopteri; Syngnathiformes; Syngnathidae.